GGUCCCAUAGCUCAGCCGGUUAGAGCGCUGUGCUAAUAACGCAGAGGUCCUGAGUUCGAUCCUCAGUGGGACCA
Non-coding RNA from Stentor coeruleus, 74 nucleotides. Lineage: Eukaryota; Ciliophora; Heterotrichea; Heterotrichida; Stentoridae. The record is from Rfam.